RNAcentral lists this ribosomal RNA (441 nucleotides) under uncultured bacterium. RNAcentral describes it as "partial 16S ribosomal RNA". It matches the Rfam family "Bacterial small subunit ribosomal RNA", at positions 338 to 795 of the family's 1533-position model. The record is from RNAcentral.
CCUACGGGUGGCUGCAGUGGGGGAUAUUGCACAAUGGGGGAAACCCUGAUGCAGCGACGCCGCGUGAGUGAAGAAGUAUUUCGGUAUGUAAAGCUCUAUCAGCAGGGAAGAAAAAAGACGGUACUUGACUAAGAUGCCCCGGCUAACUACGUGCCCGCAGCCGCGGUAAUACGUAGGGGGCAAGCGUUAUCCGGAUUUACUGGGGGUAACGGGAGCGUAGACGGCAAUAUAAGUCGGAAGUGAAAGACCCGGGCUCCACCGGGGAACUGCAUUGGAAACUGGAUGGCUGGAGUGCUGGAGAGGUAAGCGGAAUUCCGAGUGUAGCGGUGAAAUGCGUAGAUAUAAGGAGGAACACCAGUGGCGAAGGCGGCUUACUGGACAGUAACUGACGUUGAGGCUCGAAAGCGUGGGGAGCAAACAGGAUUAGAUACCCUUGUAGUC